Molecule: long non-coding RNA, 1029 nt
Filed under: Serinus canaria (Common canary)
Lineage: Eukaryota; Metazoa; Chordata; Aves; Passeriformes; Fringillidae
Description: lncRNA (ENSSCAG00000011744.1)
Source: RNAcentral
GGAAAACCGUUCCUACCCCAAAGAGCUGCGAGGGUGAGGAGCAGCCGGAGCCAGGCCCCGGAGCCCAUCCCGGGAUCACGGAGCCUCGGCGGCCCCGGGGCUCAGAGCGGGUGCUGGCAGGAAGAUCUUCACCCCCCGGCCUCUCAUUUCCUGUUUUUUGGGUCCAAUCUUCACCUUUUAUCUCCUUCGGUCGGAAAUUAUUCAAAGCGCGGCGCUGCGCUCCGCGGCCCUGAGGUGAAAAAAGGGAAAAAGCAGAAGAAAGCAGAAAAAGGGGUUCGGUUUUUCCUCCAGGAUUCCGUCCUCCUGCUGAGGGGGGCCUCGAACUGCUCUGGAAAAAAAGAGGGAAAAUCCCGUUUUGGAGGAAUUUCCUGGAUUUUUCCAGCUCUGGAGAGGUGGAAGGUUCGAAGCGAUCCCGCUAAAGGACGUGGGCGGCUCCUCGGAGCAUCCCAAAAUCUGCUCCGCCCCCCCAGGGGUGGGACCACCCAGAAAGGGGAGAGAACCCCAAAUUUCCCGGGAAUAUCCCAGCCUGGAGCUCCGCGGGAUCCACGGAAGGAGGAGAAGGACGGGAGGUCCCCAAAACUCACCUGGAGAAGCCAAAUCCUCGUUCUGGGUGGGGUUGGGACCACCUGGAGAUGGGGAUGGACCUUCCCGCUGGAAUGGCCGGGAAAGGCUGGGAAAAUCCAGCCGUGGAUCUGCUGCUGGAAAAUCUUGACUGGUUUUACUGGAGCAGCUUUGAAAUUGAAUUUUUUUUGCCUUUUUCUCGCCCCAAAUUUCGCCGCUUUUCCCAAUUUUCAGGGCGUGGGCGGAGCAGGAAUUCCAGGAUCCCUGAGGCUGGAGAAGAGCUCCGGGAUCCAACAAUCCCAGGUGUCACCGACUCCCACCUCGCUGCUCCUUGGACACCUCCAGGGAUGGAAAUUCCAGGAUUUGGACCCAAACCCAGUCCCGGGGUUGGAUCACAUCCCGCUGCUCUCCAGGGAAACCCAGCUCGGAGUUUGCCCCGAGGUUUUGCUGCCGGGAAAUGAUUUUUGA